This is a long non-coding RNA of Amphiprion ocellaris (clown anemonefish), 856 nucleotides long. The record is from Ensembl. Lineage: Eukaryota; Metazoa; Chordata; Actinopteri; Pomacentridae.
GACAGUUUAAACCCUGGAGUAGACAUGUUGCAUAUGAUUCUAUUAUAAACUGAUUAAACUUUCAGCCCUGACACAGAGACUUACUACCCAUACAGAAAUGAUACAAUGCAAAGUAAUCAUGAUCUAACUGUGGAAACGUUACAUUGCAGCUGCUGUGUUUCAGACGUUAAAAGGUCAGAGGUGACUUUCUGAAAUGAGGAACGCAGCCAAUUUCUUCAUGGGAAUUGCUGGUCUGCUGAGACGGCUCAGCUUCUUCACUGAGAGAAAAACUCCCAUAAUCUCCGUUCAGAGGCAGAUAGUGGAGGGGGACAUUUUUCAGGCCAACUGCAGCAUUAACUACUCCUGUCCUUCCUCACCUCCAUCCAUCCACUGGAAGAAAAGCUCAUCUCUGGAAAGCUCCACUUUCACCAGGGAAGUGCAAGGCCAGUGGUUAUAUAGAGAAACAAUGCACGGACUGGCAACAAAUGAAAUCCAUAACGGCAAACUGAGUUUUUCUGCACAGUUCAGAACCUUCACCACACAAAGUCAAGAAAUUACACUCAACAUUUUAUGUACGUGAAACGGUUUGUGUGCUGGAAAUACAAUAAAAAACAGACACACAUUAACAUAUCUUGUAUAUUACUGGUAACUGUCUUAUUGCAGUGAUUUCUUAUAUUUACAGAUAAACCUGUUGCUGUAAGUCUGAAACUGGAAAACAAACCAGUGACAGAGGGUGGCAGCUCUGGUUAACUCCAAAGCUCAGCACAAGCAGCUGGUGGAGGAUCUCUGUCGCUCCUCCUUCACCCCAGCAGGUGGAGGCAUUUGGCCGCCCUCCCUGAGCCUGGUUCUGCUGGAGGUUUGUUCCUUCUUCCCUGGU